CACUGAAAACUACAAAACACAAUUUUUUGUGAAAAAAAUUAAAGACCUAAUUAAAUGAAAAGAUAGCCCAUGUUCAUGGACUGAGCACUUGCUACAGUUAAGAUGGCGGUGCUCCCCAAAGUUGUAUAUAGAUUCAAUACAUUUCCUAUAAAGACAACAUUGGCCUUUUUUUUUUUUUUUAGUGGACAUAGAAAAGAACCUCAAAUUCAUAUGGAACCACAAUGGCUCAUGAAUAGUCCAAACAAUAUUGAAAAAGAAAAACAAAGUUGGAGAGUUCAUAUGUCUUGACUUCAGAACUUACUACAAAGUCUUAUUAAUCACAAGUGUGGUAGUGCCAUAAGGAUAGACCAAUGGAAUAAAACCAAGACAACAAAAUAACCCAAAUAUCUAUAGCCAACUGGUUUUUGACAAAGGUGCCAAGACCAUUCAGCGAGGAAGGAAUUUGUUAGUAUCUUCAACAAAUGAUGCUGGGAUAACUGGAUAGCCACACACAUAAGAACAAAGUUGGACCCUGUGAUGAUUAAUUUUGUGUGUCAACUUGCCUAGGCCACAGUACCCAGAUAUUUGGUCAAAUGCCAGUUUGGAUGUUGCUGGAAGGUAUUUUUAAGAUGAGAUUAACAAAUCAGUGGAUCCAGAGUAAUGGAGUUUACCCUUCAUAAUGUGGGUGGGCCUCAUCCAGUCAGUUGAGGGCCUUAAGAGAAAACAGACCUAGUUCCCCAAGUGAGAGGGAAUUCUACCUCCAGACUGUGUUCAGAUUCAAACCUCAGUAUCAACUCUUCCCUGAGUCUCUGGGUCUCUAGCCUGCGCACUCACUCUGCAGAUUUUGGAUGUGGCCACCAUCCACAAUUGUGUGAACCAGUUACUUAAAAUAAC
Leopardus geoffroyi (Geoffroy's cat) is the source of this 873-nucleotide long non-coding RNA. RefSeq lists it as uncharacterized. The transcript is spliced from 2 exons. NCBI's taxonomy places the organism in Eukaryota, Metazoa, Chordata, Mammalia, Carnivora, Felidae. The record is from RefSeq and is a predicted model, not a curated record.